This 27-nucleotide non-coding RNA is filed under the name Homo sapiens (human). Lineage: Eukaryota; Metazoa; Chordata; Mammalia; Primates; Hominidae. The record is from RNAcentral.
UCUGAUGCACGGUUUCCAGAUACCAGU